GAAAGUAGUUAGAGCAACGCGUCAUGAGAGACGGGUCGCUUUGUUUAUUCUGCAUGUAAUCUUGUCAGAAGAAAAUAAAGAAAGGAAUUUAUGGCUGGCUGCCGGGAGUAUUUUUCUGCUAAGUGCAGCAACGCAUGCAGCUGGCUAGCUGACAGGAAUGCACAGCUUCUCCUUUUGCACAUUAUCCUAUUGUAACUGAACUGUUUUUUAACUUCCAUUAUGUAAGAAUAAUAGAAUCACAGAUUUGGAAGGUAACCCAAGGGUCAUCUAGUUCAAUUCCCUGCAAUGCAGGCAGUGCCACUUAAAUAUGCCUUUUUUGUAAAUCUAAACACCAAGGUUUGUUCAAUGAGUAUUAUAUGCAUUAUGCACUAUCCAUUCUGUAUGUCAGAUUCUCCCACAAAAUAUUUCAAUGGAUCACGUAACUCUUCCAGUGUUUGAAUUAAAACAACCAAAGUGAAAAUGACAUCCCAAACUCGUAGGAGCUCUUUUAAAUGUGUCCUACCAAAGAAUUGCAAAAAACUUUGGAAGAACCUUUCACCCAAAGGCUGGGGAGGGAUAUUGCCUCCAAAAGCAGGCAAAAGAUCACAGGGGCAUUGGCAUGAAACUGAUUUACUAACCAUAUUUUUCCAAUUUGCCUCAGGGCCUGUAAGUGAUUGCAAGCUUCCAUCCUUCUCAGACUUCUUCUGAAACUAUGUGAGCAAACACACUCUUUUGCUUUUGUGUUCAAGUGCUUAAAAGCCUUCUAAAAAUAAUCAGAUCAUGUUAAAUGAUAUGCACAUCUCUAGAUAUGCACAUUUCCCAAUUUGCCUUCACUAAUAUGCUGUUUUCAGGUCAAGUCAGUGCAUAUUAUGUACAGUUGUUCAACAUGUCUACGAUGAUGAACACCAUAAUUAUUUUAUUUAGAAUGUACACUUUCUAUAAAGAAGCUGGAUGAACAUUAUACACAGUUUGGGCUUACUGUGCACAGUAAUGAAUAGUUUUGCUAGAAACACCACAGUCAUUAACUUGAAAGGAAAAAUGGGAUUAUUAAAUUGUGCUUAUAAUAUGUGAUUAUUACUUCCUUAUGUGUGAGCAUUGUGAAAUCAGGGCUCACUUCAUCUUUCUUCUCCCCCUCUUCUACCCCCAAAUAUAACUGCUCAACUGAAAAAGAAAACGAUGUUCAGUGCCAGAACAUUGUUGUAUAUUUAACUAAAACAUGCAGUAAAGUAACAUUUUGCAGAGGUCUAUAUUGUUUUGUAACAUCUAUAGAUCAACUUUCUACGUAAUAAGUAGGAAAAACAUGACUUUCUGUUUCAUGACAGUUUUCCCCAAUGCAUUUGAUCGCCUCUUGUCUUAGCAAACCAUAGAAACAAAGUCUGACAUCUGGUGUUGUCGGUCCACCAGCGUAAUGGACUUCAGUCUUCCUUUUCUUCUGCUGCCCCAUGUGAGCCCAAAAUUGCUCAGGAGAGUUAGGGAGACUCCCUGGAGCAGACUUGUGGAGAUGCAGGGGCCGGCAGGAGGAGAAAAGAAGAAGAAGAAGAAGAAGAAGAAGAAGAAGAAGAAGAAGAAGAAGAAGAGUUUGAGGAGGAGGAGGAGUUUGGAUUUGAUAUCCCGCUUUAUCACUACCCAAAGGAGUCUCAAAGCGGCUAACAUUCUCUUUUCCCUUCCUCCCCACAACAAACACUCUGUGAGGUGAGUGGGGCUGAGAGACUUCAGAGAAGUGUGACUGGCCCAAGGUCACCCAGCAGUUGCAUGUGGAGGAGCGGAGACGCGAACCCGGUUCCCCAGAUUACGAGACUGCCGCUCUUAACCACAACACCACACUGGCUCUCAAAUAAGCAGAGAAUGGGAAGGCGGUCUGUGUGAACGUAUUCAUAGCCUGUCUUUCUUCCAUCAUGGAAUCCAAGGCAGUCCAUGUGCAGGCGGUUUGCAGGCAGCUGCUUCUACAAGCCCUCUCCAGUCCCAGACCUGCUUAGCUUCAGCAAGGUGAUGGCCUCAUUCAGGCAACCCCCCCCCCCCCCGUGUGUGUAAACUCCAGGCACUACAAAGUAGCAUUUAUCUAGAGGUGAACUUAUUUUAGAAAAAUCCUGUAUCAAGGGCACUGUAAAAGUGCAAAUGAUAUACAUUAAGGAAAGGAUAUCUGGUACAAAAUAAAAUGAAGUGGAAUAAAUUCAAAUGAAUUUGUCAAACUAUUAAAAGUCAUUGAUAGCCAAUCCAUCAGUAUAUCUGCCCCCAUCCGAUUUUGAAAUGCAGUACAGUUGUACCUUGGAUCGCAAACGCUUUGUGAUUCAAACGUUUUGGGUCCUGAACGCCGCAAACUGUUCCGGUUUACGAACGUUCUUUGGAACCUGAAAGUCCAAUGCGGCAGCCAAUCUAAAGCUGCACCUUGGUUUACGAACGUUUUGGAAGUCAAACAGACUUCCAGAACAGAUUCUGUUUGACUUCCAAGGUACCACUGUAGUAUUAUUUUUGAAGGUGUGUGUUUGUGCAUAACGGGGAAUGUGUGUAAAUUCCACCAGAACAGCUGCUUACACUUCGUUGUGUAUUCCUGUUAACCUGAUAUGCAAUAGCAAAUGUAACAGACAGUUCCAAAACACAACAGAGAUGCACAUUUCUGCACAUCAGUGGUAGUUACUUUAACUGAUUCCAUGGCAAGAGACAAGACAGGUCGUUCUGCUUCAACAGUCUUUAAAAUUAGAAACUAGGUGAACAGUUUCCAGAGCAAAGUGACAGUAUCAAAAAUCAAAUAAGUAACCAAAGCAGCUGAGAGUUAGAAGACAGUGAAAAUCAGUGUUGGUCCAAGACAUUUUGGGCCCUGAGCGAACCACAAAAUGGCACCCCCCCCACCUUGCCAGGGGAGAAGGGCUGAGUGAAGAUCUACAUCAGGGAUAAGAGAGUAGAGAUCUCCCUUAGGAACAAGGGUGGGGUGGGACCAGCAGUGCCUCCUAUUUGCCAGGAGGUCACUGCAGAGACUGCAGCAGGGGUGGGGUUGCUGAGGAGGCACAGAUCCAGCCUCCAAGAAGCACAGCAGCCUGUUGCUGCAGUAGCAGUGGGCAAUGCAUUCAUUGGAGACUGGGUCUACUGCCCCUAUGGAUCCUGCCGCCUGAGGCAGUUGCUUCAGCUUGACUCAUGAGUGGGCUGGCCCUGGUGAAAAUGAUACUCCACAUUAUUUAAGGAGGGGCAGAAAAUAACAUCAAGAUCUAUUUGGCAGGGGAAGAAACCAAGAAUUAAAUUUAAAUUGUUAACUGAUACUAGAGAAAGAGGGGGCUUCGCCUUGCCAGACUUGAAGUUACACUAUGAAGCAUCCUGCCUCUGUUGGUUGAAGGAAAGAAUGUUGUUAGAAAAUACAGAUUUGUUGGACUUAGAAGGAUUUGAUAAUAGAUUUGGUUGGCACGCAUAUUUAAGGUAUGACAAAACAAAAGUGCAUAAAGGAUUUGGAAACCACAUAUUCCGAAGAUCUCUAUAUCAAAUAUGGGAUAGCUAUAAAAACCUAUUAGAAUGUAAAACACCAUGGUGGUUGUCACCUUUGGAAGCAAUAAAUGUAAAGAAGAUAAAUAUGAGUAAAAAUUGGGCCGCAUAUGAAAAGUUAGU
Molecule: non-coding RNA, 3570 nt
Organism: Podarcis lilfordi (Lilford's wall lizard)
Lineage: Eukaryota; Metazoa; Chordata; Lepidosauria; Squamata; Lacertidae
Source: the annotation of a GenBank genome assembly